AGAUUUAUAAGUUAUUUAAACUGUGGACCUUCAAAGUCCAAAAUAGAAAUAUUUAUCUUAAAUUUG
This 66-nucleotide transfer RNA is filed under the name Megaustenia imperator imperator. RNAcentral describes it as "tRNA-Trp". The record is from RNAcentral. Lineage: Eukaryota; Metazoa; Mollusca; Gastropoda; Stylommatophora; Ariophantidae.